RNAcentral lists this ribosomal RNA (253 nucleotides) under uncultured bacterium. RNAcentral describes it as "partial 16S ribosomal RNA". It matches the Rfam family "Bacterial small subunit ribosomal RNA", at positions 524 to 776 of the family's 1533-position model. The record is from RNAcentral.
UACGUAGGGUGCGAGCGUUAAUCGGAAUUACUGGGCGUAAAGCGUGCGCAGGCGGUUUUGUAAGCCAGAUGUGAAAUCCCCGGGCUUAACCUGGGAAUGGCAUUUGGGACUGCAAGGCUUGAGUUUGGCAGAGGAGACUGGAAUUCCGCGUGUAGCAGUGAAAUGCGUAGAGAUGCGGAGGAACACCGAUGGCGAAGGCAGCCCCCUGGGCUAGUACUGACGCUCAUGCACAAAAGCGUGGGGAGCAAACAGG